Molecule: long non-coding RNA, 200 nt
Filed under: Panax ginseng (ginseng)
Lineage: Eukaryota; Viridiplantae; Streptophyta; Magnoliopsida; Apiales; Araliaceae
Description: long non-coding RNA (PGIN_LNC014794)
Source: RNAcentral
UUGACCAAAACUCCUGCCAUGCAUUAAUGUGGAUGGGAUCAUAGCCGGCCGGCGGUAGAAAACAGUGGCCAAAAGCAGUGGACAGACCAUAUGCAGUCGGCAGAAUCCAUCAGAUCAGGGGGCUGUGUCAGAUGGUGGUGGGUGGCACAGUAAUCCAGGCGAAGAGAGUAUAACCUAGCAAGGAAGUCUUCACAAAGAGG